This 1666-nucleotide long non-coding RNA is filed under the name Capsicum annuum. RNAcentral's name for it is "long non-coding RNA (CANN_LNC002245)". Lineage: Eukaryota; Viridiplantae; Streptophyta; Magnoliopsida; Solanales; Solanaceae. The record is from RNAcentral.
ACACACAUUCAUCACACCAUUAUAUAAAUACAGAUCUCAAUUCACAAAAGGAGGUUGCUUCUUCUCCUUCUCACAGAGAACACACACUCACACAGAAAACACGAUACACACUCACCACAAUAUACACACAGAGUAGAGGGAUGGGAGGGGGGAUACAUAGAUCAAAAUCGUCACUCCCAUAAGAGACUGAAGAACAAUCAUCGUCACUCAUCCUUACCAUACGUACAAAUCGUACACACACACACACACUCUUUAACCGAAAAACACGUCCUCGGAAAACGUCCACAUACUCACACAGUGAGGAUGGGAUCGAAAAAAUAGAAGGAGCUUAAGAUUGAACCAGUUGUGGAUUGUUUGUCUCUGUCUUGAGUCGAUUUCACGAUAAUUUUUGUAUACUGGUUGGUUUAUUCGAUUGCGAUUUCUAUUUUGAUCCGUCGAUUUUCGUAUUGAUUUGGGGGAAUUUGGAUACUGUUUGGUCUCAGUUAGGUUAUUGUGGUAAGUUUCGGCCUGCUGAUUCCCUAUAUCGAAUUGGAUUUCACUGCAGUUGAGGUUCGUCUAUUCGGAAUUCCAAGUCCGAGUUUUCUUAAACAUUAUUACCAACAAAAUUGGUUCUUCGAAGGUCCAAUUCUAUUUUCUCUCCCUCUAAUUUUACUUAAUUGUGAAUGAUUUGUGUUUUUGGCAUAUUUGAAUCUUCUUUUGUUGGUUAAUGUUGGAUUCAGAUGUGAAAACUUGAUUGAUUGAUUGCAUAUUGAAUUGAUUUAAUCAUGUUAAAGUAGGAUGGGUAGGAUGGGGUGAAAUUAAGAUAUUAAUAAAAAGCAGGAAUAUAGAUCAACUUUGGUUUAUUGUUGUUUUUUUUUUUAAUUUGGAAUAAGCAUGAAUGAUGUUGAAACGGAUAAGCAAAUGUAGGUUUGGGUAAGCAAAAUUUAGAAUUUGUGUUUUGGUUGAAUGUUUGAAUGUGCGUGUGAAUGUUUCUUUCGAGCUUAUCAUAUUUGAUUCAAGUAUAUUCAUAUGGCCGGGAAAUGCCCCGAGGUUUUAUGUCACGACCCAAAAUGAGGGUCAUGAUGGCACUUGUCGCGGCGUACCUUGACAAGUAAGGCUAUCACCCAAACUGAUACAAAAAAAAGAAAAGACAUAAAUAUCCCACGGUAAGUCUUCUAGAAUGAAGACGAACCAUAUAAGUAAUUAUAACAAUGCGGAAAGAACUUAUCCAAAACGCCAAUCACGCUCAAAAUCAGGUGUCAAUAGUGUAAGAACUACUAAUACAAUCUGAGAGUCAAAUUCAUAAAAAAUAAUAAUCACAAAGGAAUAAUAACUGUCUCCGAAUACUAAUAAAGACAUAAACUAUAGAUAGAGGUGAACUUCGGACGCAUGAAUGUCCAACCGCUAUCUUGAAAGCUCCAACAAUCGUCCAUGUCAAUCAAGAUGAGGCGCACUCGAGCUAAGACCAUAUGCACACAUAUAUAAAGUAUUAAGAAACAUACUAAGCAUAUUUAUAAUAUAAAUAUACAAAGUAUAUUAUAUAUGAAGUUUAUACCAUGUAUAUACCAUAUACACACAUAUAUAAAAAUAUAAAGUAUAAAGAAACAUACUAAGCAUAUUUAUAUAUUUAUGGUAUAUGAUAUAAUAUACCAUAAAUAUGCAAAACAUGUUUUACAUAGAAAUAAUU